ACUCAAAUGAAUUGACGGGGGCCCGCACAAGCAGCGGAGCGUGUGGUUUAAUUCGAUGCGACACGAAGAACCUUACCUGGGUUUGACAUGCUCGUAGUAGUGAAGCGAAAGCGGAACGACCCGUAAGGGAGCGAGCACAGGUGCUGCAUGGCUGUCGUCAGCUCGUGUCGUGAGAUGUUGGGUUAAGUCCCGCAACGAGCGCAACCCUUGUCGCUAGUUAUACGUGUCUAGCGAGACUGCCGGUAUCAAGCCGGAGGAAGGUGGGGAUGACGUCAAGUCAGCAUGGCCUUUAUAUCCAGGGCUACUCACACGCUACAAUGGGCAGUACAGUGGGAAGCGAACGGGCGACCGGAAGCGAAUCCUCCAAAGCUGCUCGUAGUUCAGAUUGCAGGCUGCAACCCGCCUGCAUGAAGCUGGAGUUGCUAGUAAACGCAGGUCAGCGAUACUGCGUUGAAUACGUUCCCGGGCCUUGUACACACCGCCCGU
This 486-nucleotide ribosomal RNA is filed under the name uncultured bacterium. RNAcentral's name for it is "partial 16S ribosomal RNA". It matches the Rfam family "Bacterial small subunit ribosomal RNA", at positions 899 to 1397 of the family's 1533-position model. The record is from RNAcentral.